AGGGAAUCUUCCGCAAUGGACGAAAGUCUGACGGAGCAACGCCGCGUGAGUGAUGAAGGUUUUCGGAUCGUAAAGCUCUGUUGCCAGGGAAGAACGCUUGGGAGAGUAACUGCUCGCCAAGGUGACUGUACCGAGAAGAAGACCCUUCCC
This 150-nucleotide ribosomal RNA is filed under the name uncultured bacterium. RNAcentral's name for it is "partial 16S ribosomal RNA". It matches the Rfam family "Bacterial small subunit ribosomal RNA", at positions 356 to 499 of the family's 1533-position model. The record is from RNAcentral.